RNAcentral lists this unclassified non-coding RNA (345 nucleotides) under soil metagenome. Its description in RNAcentral is "partial contains 5.8S ribosomal RNA, internal transcribed spacer 2, and large subunit ribosomal RNA". The stretch from base 1 to 119 matches the Rfam family "5.8S ribosomal RNA", at positions 35 to 154 of the family's 154-position model. The record is from RNAcentral.
GAUGAAGAACGCAGCGAAAUGCGAUACGUAAUGUGAAUUGCAAAUUCAGUGAAUCAUCGAGUCUUUGAACGCACAUUGCGCCCCCUGGUAUUCCGGGGGGCAUGCCUGUCCGAGCGUCAUUGCUGCCCUCAAGCACGGCUUGUGUGUUGGGCCCCGUCCUCCGAUCCCGGGGGACGGGCCCGAAAGGCAGCGGCGGCACCGCGUCCGGUCCUCGAGCGUAUGGGGCUUUGUCACCCGCUCUGUAGGCCCGGCCGGCGCUUGCCGAUCAACCCAAAUUUUUAUCCAGGUUGACCUCGGAUCAGGUAGGGAUACCCGCUGAACUUAAGCAUAUCAUUAAGCGGAGGA